Molecule: ribosomal RNA, 253 nt
Filed under: uncultured bacterium
Lineage: Bacteria
Description: partial 16S ribosomal RNA
Rfam family: Bacterial small subunit ribosomal RNA
Source: RNAcentral
UACAGAGGUCUCGAGCGUUAGGCGGAAUCACUGGGCUUAAAGCGUGUGUAGGCGGAUUGCUAAGUACCUUGUGAAAUCCCACGGCUUAACCGUGGAACUGCUUGGUAUACUGGCUGUCUUGAGCCACUUAGGGGCAACCGGAACAAACGGUGGAGCGGUGAAAUGCGUAGAUAUCGUUUGGAACGCCAAUGGUGAAAACAGGUUGCUGGGAGUGCGCUGACGCUGAGACACGAAAGCCAGGGGAGCAAACGGG